Oncorhynchus keta (chum salmon) is the source of this 227-nucleotide long non-coding RNA. RefSeq lists it as uncharacterized. The record is from RefSeq and is a predicted model, not a curated record. Lineage: Eukaryota; Metazoa; Chordata; Actinopteri; Salmoniformes; Salmonidae. The transcript is spliced from 3 exons.
GAGUAAUCAGGUGGGUGGAUUCAUUACUGACUGUAGAGUUUAUUAGAGUAAUCAGGUGGGUGGAUUCAUUACUGACUGUAGAGUUGGUUAGAGUAAUCAGGUGGGUGGAUUCAUUACUGACUGUAGAGUUGGUUAGAGUAAUCAGGUGGGUGGAUUCAUUACUGACUGUAGAGUUUAUUAGAGUAAUCAGGUGGGUGGAUUCAUUACUGACUGUAGAGUUUAUUAGA